This 405-nucleotide ribosomal RNA is filed under the name uncultured bacterium. RNAcentral's name for it is "bacterial SSU rRNA". It matches the Rfam family "Bacterial small subunit ribosomal RNA", at positions 354 to 774 of the family's 1533-position model. The record is from RNAcentral.
GUGGGGAAUAUUGCACAAUGGAGGAAACUCUGAUGCAGCGACGCCGCGUGAGUGAAGAAGGUCUUCGGAUCGUAAAACUCUGUCCUUGGUGACGAAAAAAAUGACGGUAGCCAAGGAGGAAGCCCCGGCUAACUACGUGCCAGCAGCCGCGGUAAUACGUAGGGGGCGAGCGUUGUCCGGAUUUACUGGGCGUAAAGGGUGAGUAGGCGGUAAUAUGUGUCAGAUGUAAAAGGCUAUGGCUUAACCAUAGUUAGCAUUUGAAACUGUAUUACUUGAGUGCAGGAGAGGUAAGUGGAAUUCCUAGUGUAGCGGUGAAAUGCGUAGAUAUUAGGAGGAACACCAGUGGCGAAGGCGACUUACUGGACUGUAACUGACGCUGAGUCACGAAAGCGUGGGUAGCAAACA